RNAcentral lists this ribosomal RNA (379 nucleotides) under uncultured eukaryote. RNAcentral describes it as "partial 18S ribosomal RNA". It matches the Rfam family "Eukaryotic small subunit ribosomal RNA", at positions 592 to 976 of the family's 1831-position model. The record is from RNAcentral.
CAAUAGCGUAUAUUAAAGUUGUUGCGUUAAAAAAGCUCGUAGUUGGAUUUCUGUUGAGAGCGACCGGUCCAUACCAUGUAUGCGUAUCUGGCUUGCUCUCGGCAUCCUCUCGAUAGACGUUACUGCGCUUGAUUGCGUGGUGCGGAUCUCGGGACUUUUACUUUGAGGAAAUUAGAGUGUUCACGGCAGGCUUUCGCCAGAAUACAUUAGCAUGGAAUGAUACUAUAGGAUCUUGGUUCUAUUUUGUUGGUUUCUAGAAUUGAGAUAAUGAUUAAUAGGGACAAUUGGGGGCAUUCGUAUCAACACGUCGGAGGUGGAAUUCUUGGAUUGUGUUGCGACGAACUACUGCGAAAGCAUUUGCCAAGGAUGUUUUCAUUGA